GAUGCCUCUCCUUGCAGUGCCCAGGACCAUCUAGAACCUUCAAGCCUGGAUAGGGACGCAUUUCCAAUUUCUUCUCUUUGAGAUACUCUAUAACUUUAUACUACUACCUAGAGUCAACCAGAGGUCUCAAAACCUAUAACCCAGACUUAUGGUGUCAUAAUUAGGAUUCCAUGGCCAGAUUCUGUUUUCACAAAGUGACCAGAUGAGGGAGUUACUUUUGCUAAUUGGCAUUGCAUUUCUUCAAUUUGAUCAUAUGAGAAUAGACUGUCAAAACAGUGUCAACACACUGAUGUAGGAGCUCUAUAUACCCUAUGGGUCCUUGUCCAACAAUGUUACUAGUGGUAACAAUGUAAACUUGCUUUGAGAAAUGAAACUCUCCUAUAUAACCUACACAAGUAUUAAAUAAAUACUUGUAUAAAUACAUAUAACACAUAGUAGUAUACAAUAUGGACAUCUCAUAAGCAUCUAUGUUAUAAAUUUAAUAUGUAUCAAGUUCACAUUUGAUAAAUUAUUUAUUAUAAGUCACAAUAAAGAAUACUUCCUUUAGGUUUAUAGGAGCCAGAGGGAUCGAGGACCCCACAAGAACACUAUCCACAGAAUCAACUAAGUAGGCCUCAUAGAGCUCACAGAGACUGAAGGGACAAUCCCAGAGCCUGUGCUAAGUCUUCUACAUAUACCUUAUGGUUGUGUAGCUUGGUGCUCUUAUGGAAUUCCUAAUAGUGGGAGUGAGUGUGUCUCUGACUUCUGCCUGCACUUGGAACCCUUUCUUCCUACUGGGUUGCCUCAUCCAAUCUUGAUGUGAGGGCUUGUGCCUAGUCUUAUUGUAACUUGUUAUGCUGUGUUUGGUUGAUAUCCUUGGGAGGCCUGCUCUUUUCUGAAGGGAAACAGAGAAGAAAUGGAUCUGGGGGAGACAGAAGAUGGGAAAGGUAGGUCCUGGGAGGAGUGGAGGAAGGAGAAACUAUUAUCAAUAUUUAAUAUAUGAGAGAACAACAACAAAAGAAUACUUUCUUCAAUAAACUACUACAUAUACCUAAAAACAGGCGAAUAAACAUCAAAACCAGUAUUGGAAAAUGGCAGCAGCAACAUACAAUUCUUCAUUUAACAUUAAAGUUGCGUUACUUCAAUGAGAGCUAUAAUGUCACACUUGUAGGACUAUAGGCAAUGUUUCUUUGUGAUUCUAUUUUUUCUGUUUAGGGAUCCAAACAAAAGACAGCAGAAUCAGAAACUCUCAGCUUGAAGCAAACUAGUCAUACUGAGGACAGGUGUGCAACUGUAUCUCUCAAGCCCAGCCAACCACGUUGUCAUAUUGGGUUCACCUCAGCUGUCUGCAUAUAAACAUUGAUGCUACAUCUCAAAGUGUUACCUUCAUAUUUCACCAUUUCUACCUCAUCUACCAUUUUGCAUUGGCUGUCUUAUUUUGUUACAUGUGAAUAAUCAAUAAUUAAUCCUAUAGUUUUAGAACUUAAAGGCUAUCACACCAUUAGGAAGAGCAAGAUUAGUCAAGAAAAAAAACUAAAAAUAAACAUUGCAAACAGAUUUUAUGCAUGCAUGACCCUUGAACAUACCAAGUAUAUUUUCAAAUCUUCUUUAAUCCACUUAAUCAAUGGUGUUAAAUCAACACAUUAGUCCUGUCAGUGCCUGCCUGGUCAAGCCCAAAGAAUCAAACUCUGUGAUUCAAACUAAAAGGAAAGUUUUCAUGCUGGAAAAACUGUCAACUAUCUCAUGAUUUUUUUCCCUCCCAGUUUAUGAGAGCUCAUUAAAGCAGCAUUCAUUCCCCUUAAACACCCACCUACAAUUUACUGUCAAAUAUAUCACCCUCAAUUAAAGGAUAUUCUUCCUAAUAAUGUUUCCCAACAUAUACUUCUUUUUUUUCCUUUUAAAGAGUGAAGUGACUAGCAACUGUGAGAAAAUAAGCUUGUUCAUCACAUUUUAUCACUUUCCCUGCUAUUUUUUUCUUUGAGACACCACUGUCUUUUUAUGUCCAUGCUGGCUGUGCAUGUUUGUGACAUCUAUCACGGAGAGCCGUACCUGCCAGGACAAAAACACAGUACAGAGGAGGGACAGUCACUGCUGGCCAAAUCCCUUUAGACUAUGUCAGAAUGAGUAAUGGUGGUGGGAGCUUGCAGAAAAAACCCCAGAACCUGUGGGAUUCUAGGACACUUUAUCUAGAUCAGAAUUUGUGCAAAUCCCCCAUAUUGGGUAUUUUCUUUAAACAUUUUUUAUGUUUAACAUAAGCCAUACUUCCCUUUUUAAGGCUAAAUCAUUCAAGUUUCCAAGCUUCUCUCUCAACUAAGGACAUUUUUCAGUGUUUUAUUAGCUGGUUUGAUGAGCAAACAAUGAUUUGGUGUUUACUUCUAAGGUUACCCAAUGCCUUGAGACAGGAUAACAGCCUUGCGUGAAAUAGUAUAAAGAAUGGAAAACUGCAAGCACUGUCUGGCCAUUGCCAGUUGCUUUUCUCAGAAAGGAGAAUUGUGGGGUUCUCAGUUAUAUUUAUUCUAAAAUUCUGUGAGGUCCUCUUGCAUGAUUUUUUUAACUUUUUACUGUUGUUGUAGUUCUUUAAAAUACACACACACAUACAGAUACAUGAGAUAGGAUAUUUAUCAUCCAUACUGGUUACUGUUGCUUUUCAUUCAUCCUAACACGCUCUAUCGAGGUGCUUAUGACUAGGGAGGCGCAUGUGGAGGAAAACCAUUUGGCCACAGUUUAGCAUUUAGAACAACUUCAGUGUUGGGAUGCUGGCAUUAUCUCCAAACAAUACAUACAAGUAUUCUCACAGGGUAUUCAUCAUGCAUGCAAUUUUCCAUGAGUCCUGUUGCUUAACUGGCUUUCGAAAAUAAGGCCCUUGGUGACCUAUGAAUAGCAUCUUGUAUGUAUGAAUGGUUUUUAUGUAAACAUUUAUGAUAUAUAGCAAUUUUCAAGAACUUUGUGUUAUUUCCUCUGUGUUUAAUAUUCUGGAACCCUGGACAACUGGAAGUGGCUUGGGAUCUGAAAUAUUCUUUUACCAGAACCUUCCAUCCUUUGCUGUUCUAAGCAUCAGCUCCAAUUCAGCUUUCUCCUUUGCCCCCGUGUCUUUACCACAGCCCACCACACUGUGGUAUGCGUUCUUACGUGGGGAUGUCUGCUCUCCUUGUUUGCUUUCUUAUACAGUCACCUGUCCAGGGAUAGCAGUAUCCAUAAUGGCCUGGGCCUUCCUACAUCAACAAUAAAUUAAGAAAACAUCACACAAUCAUGCCCACAGGCCAAUCUGGUUAAGGAAAUUCCUCAACUGAGGUUCUUUCUUUUCAUGUUAAGUUGACAAGAGAUAACCAACAAAGUCACUAAGAUCAGUUUAAAGAGACCCCCAAACCAAAGAAGGAAAGUGACACCUCUUGAUGCCAAAGGACUGAUAAGAGCUAAGAGCUAGCUAUGGUCAUGAUUCACCAGAUAAAAGACAAUGAGUGGUGAAGGCAAGGCCUAUGAAUCUGGGUCUCACAAUAUCACUCCUAAGGCCAGGCACACAAUUCCAUUCUAGGGUUGACCACACCAACAGCUUACUUCCUUUAUGCUUAAAUACCUACAGGUUGAGUUUGUAACACAUUUAACAAAAAUAUAAAUAUUUAUAUAUACUGAUAUACUAAAUAUUUGAACACCUCCUUGUGUUAGGCUCCAAGGACAGAAGAGCAAACAAACAAGACCAUAGCCCAGAUCCCUAUAAAACUUACAGCCUAGUUCCCCAAUGACUGGAAGGGACUGCAAAUGGGAAUGUUAUAUUUGUAUCGCAGUAACAUUUGUAUUAUCAUUCAUUCAUGAUGCAUUAAUAAAUGUCUGACAGAGCCAACAUGGACAUUAAAGGUUAGAGUACAUCCAAAUCAUAACCCUUCAAUGAAGUGCUAGAGAGAAUAUACUCUCCAAGUGAUACUCCUGUGUCAGUGUCAAAGUCAGAAUUUGGGAGCUGAAGUACUAGUCUCACUAAGCAAAGCCAUUUCUUGUGAUAGAUGCUGACUAAUGCCAUGUGUUUACCUUGUAGGUCACAGUGCUUAGACAUGUCUCACAAGUGGUGCGCUCCCAACAAUGACAUAGUAACAGAGUUCAUUGUCGAGCAGGAGAGAAGAGGGUGAAUCCCUGAUAAUGAUCCAGGAACGGAGUGCUCCCUGGGAAGCCCCUGGGAAAGGUCUUGGACAAAUCAAUAUUGCCAGCCAAGUAUUUCUUCCACUGGGGAUAUGAAGGCUGAAACUCAUUGGGCAGGAAAAUUCAGGACUGGACCCAUGUAUCUUUAAUUUUGUUAAAGGUUCUGUUUGAAAUCAUACACAAUAGAAGGCAAAAUGAAUUCUCAACCUUCAAGCAAAAAAGAAGGAAUUUUUAAAGAUGUAGUUAUUAAAUGGCCCAGGAGAAAUAAACACACAUCAAAGGAA
Molecule: long non-coding RNA, 4391 nt
Organism: Mesocricetus auratus (golden hamster)
Lineage: Eukaryota; Metazoa; Chordata; Mammalia; Rodentia; Cricetidae
Exons: 2
Source: RefSeq, a predicted model, not a curated record